GGAUUACAGGUGCCCGCCACCACGUCCGGCUAAUUUUUGUAUUUUUAGUAGAGACGGGGUUUUACCAUAUUGGCCAGGUUGGUCUCAAACUCCUGACCUCAGGUGAUCCACCUGCCUCCGCCUCCCAAAGUGCUGGGAUUACAGGUGUGAGCCACCGCGCCCACCCGCUCCUGGGUGUCUUUGCAUAAGAGAAUGGAACACACAGCGCACGGAAAACCUGGGAACAUUCACAGCCGCAUCUGUAACAGCCAAACAGUGGAAAAGGCUGGAAUGUGCCCCAAGGAAUGGAUGGGUCAGCACCGUGCAGCCACCCACACACGAACACGACUCAGCCAUGAAAAGGAGUGAGGCUCUGACCCAGGCCACGGUGGGGAUGCACCUUGAGGACGCCAUGCUCAGUGAGAGACGCGACACAAAAGGCCACACUGUAUGACCCCGUUUCUUUCUUUCUUUCUUUUUGAGACGGAGUCUUGCUCUGUCACCCAGGCUGGAGUGCGGUGGCACAAUCUCACCUCACUGCAAGCUCUGCCUCCCGGGUUCACGCCAUUCUCCUGCCUCAGCCUCCCGAGUAACUGGGGCUACAGGUGCCAGCCACCACGCCUGGCUAAUUUUUUGUGUUUUUAG
This 624-nucleotide long non-coding RNA is filed under the name Homo sapiens (human). Its description in RNAcentral is "LHRI_LNC309.1". The record is from RNAcentral. Lineage: Eukaryota; Metazoa; Chordata; Mammalia; Primates; Hominidae.